This 376-nucleotide long non-coding RNA is filed under the name Homo sapiens (human). RNAcentral's name for it is "HSALNT0167477". The record is from RNAcentral. Lineage: Eukaryota; Metazoa; Chordata; Mammalia; Primates; Hominidae.
UUCAUCCAAGGUUUGGGGUAGAAAGUUAUUUUCAUUUUAUUAAUACUUGUCAAGCCCUUGUGUUUAAUGUUAGACACAGUGUGGGGUGCUAGGGAGAGUGAUAGAGAAAAUAAAUUCCCUGCUUUGGUUUGCUUCCAGCAGUGGGUGUAUUGCAAAAUUUGUUUGCACGAACGUACAAAUACAUUUUUGAGUUUUGAGAAGGUAGCUUUGGACCUAGCAGCACAUGUUUUCCUGAUAUUGCAAGUGUGCAGGUUGAGAAGCUUGGGAAGCACUGUUCUGCCAGGACUUUGGGGAGAAAGUUUGGGGGUGGUCAUGCCUACUUGCUCUUCUGUUCUGCCUAGUGGUAAGUAUUUUCUGGAGCUUCUGCUGAAGGAGA